AUCCAGCUGACGAGUUCUAGAUAGGAUGAAACGCGCUUCAAACUGGAU
Molecule: non-coding RNA, 48 nt
Organism: Schistosoma rodhaini
Lineage: Eukaryota; Metazoa; Platyhelminthes; Trematoda; Strigeidida; Schistosomatidae
Source: Rfam